GGUGAGAGUGGCGAACGGGUGAGUAACACGUAGGUAAUCUACCUUUGGGUGGGGGAUAGCCCAUGGAAACAUGGGGUAAUACCGCAUGAUGCCGUAAGGUUAAAGGAGCAAUUGUUCCGCCUGGGGAUGGGCCUGCGGUCCAUUAGCUAGUUGGUGAGGUAAGAGCUCUACCAAGGCGACGAUGGAUAGCCGGCCUGAGAGGGUGAACGGCCACACUGGGACUGAGACACGGCCCAG
This 237-nucleotide ribosomal RNA is filed under the name uncultured bacterium. RNAcentral's name for it is "partial 16S ribosomal RNA". It matches the Rfam family "Bacterial small subunit ribosomal RNA", at positions 88 to 334 of the family's 1533-position model. The record is from RNAcentral.